GACGAACGCUGGCGGCGUGCUUAACACAUGCGAGUCGAACGGAAAGGCCUGCUUUCCCUUGUGGAUUGCGGGUACUCGAGUGGCGAACGGGUGAGUAACACGUGAGUGAUCUGCCCCCAACUUGGGUAUAAGCCUGGGAAACUGGGUCUAAUUCCCGAUAGGACUGCAGGGUGGUGCCUGUGGUGGAAAACGAUUUUCUAGUGGUUGGGGAUGAGCUCGCGGCCUAUCAGCUUGUUGGUGGGGUAAUGGCCUACCAAGGCGGCGACGGGUAGCCGGCCUGAGAGGGUGGACGGCCACAUUGGGACUGAGAUACGGCCCAGACUCCGACGGGAGGCAGCAGUGGGGAAUAUUGCACAAUGGGCGGAAGCCUGAUGCAGCGACGCCGCGUGGGGGAUGACGGCCUUCGGGUUGUAAACUCCUUUCGACCGCGAGGAAGCCACCUGGUUGGAAGGGUGGUGACGGUAGUGGUAGAAGAAGCACCGGCUAACUACGUG
This 494-nucleotide ribosomal RNA is filed under the name uncultured bacterium. Its description in RNAcentral is "partial 16S ribosomal RNA". It matches the Rfam family "Bacterial small subunit ribosomal RNA", at positions 28 to 507 of the family's 1533-position model. The record is from RNAcentral.